GGUUUUUUUUUAUUCAUUUUUUAAAUAUAAAACACUGUUCUAGGUUCCCGUGCUUUUGUAAGAAUCGCUGCGUAGUCUUUACACUCGCUUGUGAUCAUCUGUCCAAAAGCAACGGGAACAAUACGCGCUCUGGGUGAGAUUAGAAGUGGCCGGCCUUCUUAUAACUGGAGAUUUAUGUGUGUGUGCGUGUGUAAAUGUGUUAUCUUAAUCUGGUUAAUACUAACAACUUAAUCUAAUACUUAAUGGCUAUAAAUUAUUAUAAUUAUUUUACAACAUUGAUUGUACAUUUU
Cinara cedri is the source of this 290-nucleotide non-coding RNA. The record is from the annotation of a GenBank genome assembly. Lineage: Eukaryota; Metazoa; Arthropoda; Insecta; Hemiptera; Aphididae.